AAAAGAUUCAAAAACCCCGCCCGUUUUCUAGUCAGUCCCGUGACGUCAGCCCGUCCAAUCACAGCUGAGCUGAGCUGAGCUUCACUCAAAGAGUCACGAAAAACAACAGGUAAGCAUUUCAAGCUUCUUUAUUCCUAUUCAAACUAGAGCUUUUGAACAUUUAUGAUUUAUUGUCGUAUCUUAUUAUUUGAAGAUUAACCAGCUCAGCAACGCUAAUGUAUUAGCUAGCAAAGAUGACAUGACAUCAAAGUUAUCAACAGCAAUUGUUAAAUAUGCAGUGUUUUACACCACAGUUAGUCAGUGAAAAUAUAAAAAAUAUUUUUUGUGCUUUUCUCAGUUGGAUACAGACAAACAAUUCUGGUGAUUUUUUUAAACCAGUAAACCAGAAAGAUGGCUGACAGAAAACCGACACUCACGCCGUGGAGAAACUAAAGCAACAGGCAAAGGCAUAGUGGAGUGCUGGGAUGUCAAAGGCAACAAGAUGGCUGCAAUACUACAAGCCUAAAUUGAAGAAAAGGAGCCUGAGCAGGUGCAGAAGGCAGCAGUCCCCAUCAUUGCUGCUGAGGAGGAAGAGGAAAUGUCACGAGGGAAACCACUGGAUGUUUUGAUUGUCUUUGAAGAUGAAGAGGUGAUGUCAACCAAGUCUAGGGUUACCAGAUAAGGAUCUACACCUGUUACCAAUUUGGGACUCUGUUUAAGGUGUCUGGCCUUUGUUGGAGGUGAAGCUUUCGUCCUUAUCCUGCAGUUGUGCUCCGAAGCUGGACCUUCACUUUGUUAAUUGUUUGUUUCUUUAUUGCUGUUCAUCCCCUGGACUUAAAUAUAUAUUCUAUUGUUAAUAUACUAUUGGACUUAGAACCCUUUUUGUUGUUGCGUCCUUGAGUCGGAUGUAACAACUGGGGGCUCGUCCAGGAUGUAACACCCUCAUUUAGAGUACACUAACUUCUCAAAGCAGCUUUACAGAAAAUGCAUGUCUACAUUACAAUUUAGCCUGAUCUGUACUAUAAUUACUAGAGUUUUCAACUUGAAUAGUGUUGUAUCAUAUGAUUUAUAGUGAUGCUACAUGGGUGUACUCACUUCUGUUGUAUACUGUAUGUUUGACUAAUACACUGGAAGAUGGCAGAUAUUAACUUUUUUUUCUGGCGGGGAUGGAGAUGAGAUAUAUGCCACGUUCCAGGGAACCCGUAACCCGUGUUUUUCCAACCUUCUACCCGUGAAAGUGCACUGGAACGGCAGUCAAACCCAUGACUUCCCACCCGUGAUCUCGUACUAUAUCGAUGUACUCCCAGUUCCGAGCUCUGAUGUCACAUAGCCCUGCAAAACAUUGGCAGCCUCUACGGAUAAUAUUGCCUACGGAUGCUGUGUUUAUGCAAGUGGUACACAGUGAGAAAUAGACUUUAGGACAAUAAAGCGUUGCAAUAAAAUUAAUAAUCUAGCUAC
Molecule: long non-coding RNA, 1437 nt
Organism: Cyprinus carpio (common carp)
Lineage: Eukaryota; Metazoa; Chordata; Actinopteri; Cypriniformes; Cyprinidae
Source: Ensembl